This 352-nucleotide ribosomal RNA is filed under the name Aptostichus atomarius. RNAcentral's name for it is "partial 12S ribosomal RNA". Lineage: Eukaryota; Metazoa; Arthropoda; Arachnida; Araneae; Euctenizidae. The record is from RNAcentral.
UUCCAGUAAACUAACUAUGUUACGACUUACCUCUUCUUUAGAAGAGGGCGACGGGCGAUAUGUACACCUAAAUUCAAUUUCGUUCUAAAUUUUUAUUUGAGAACUACUUCCAAAUCCUUUUUCAGUUCUUCUUUAGAAUAGAUCCUUUAAUUAAUUUAAUGGGUAAUUAGUUUUAUCUUCUUUAUAAUCUUCACCUUGACCUGACUUAUUAAAAAAUAUUAGGGUAGAAAAUGUAAAUUCUACCUUAAGACGGCGGUAUAAAAGAAAAAGAAGAAGAAAAAAUAAACGGGAAAAAUCGAUAAAAAAACAAAUUCCUCUGGUAAGAUAAAAGGCCGCCAAAAAGUAUGGGUUU